CAGGGGCCUCAAGCGUUAGGCGGAAUCACUGGGCUUAAAGCGUGUGUAGGCGGAUCGUUAAGUGCCUUGUGAAAUCCCACGGCUUAACUGUGGAACGGCUGGGCAUACUGGCGGUCUUGAGCCAUCUAGGGGCGACUGGAACAAACGGUGGAGCGGUGAAAUGCGUAGAUAUCGUUUGGAACGCCAAUGGUGAAAACAGGUCGCUGGGGAUGAGCUGACGCUGAGACACGAAAGCCAGGGGAGCAAACGGGAUUAGAUACCCCGGUAGUCCUGGCCCUAAACGAUGUCCACUAGAUCAUGGUUCCUCUGACGGAUUCAUGGUCGAAGCAAAAGUGCUAAGUGGACCGCCUGGGAAGUACGGUCGCAAGGCUA
This 372-nucleotide ribosomal RNA is filed under the name uncultured organism. RNAcentral's name for it is "bacterial SSU rRNA". It matches the Rfam family "Bacterial small subunit ribosomal RNA", at positions 526 to 896 of the family's 1533-position model. The record is from RNAcentral.